This is a long non-coding RNA of Centruroides sculpturatus (bark scorpion), 336 nucleotides long. RefSeq lists it as uncharacterized. Lineage: Eukaryota; Metazoa; Arthropoda; Arachnida; Scorpiones; Buthidae. The transcript has 3 exons. The record is from RefSeq and is a predicted model, not a curated record.
AAAAUUUGUUUUUAUGUAAGGAAUAAAGUCAAAGAAAUUUUAGAAUAUUUACUGUGUAUGCAGGCUUUAAUUACUUUUAUCAGUGCAUGUUUUUAAAAUGCUAAGACAAAUUGUUUGACAAGAUGUGCAUAUUUAAUUGCAAAAAAUUGAUACUUGCCAAGACCAGAUAUAGAUCCAGCAUUUAUCCAUGAACAAAAAGGACCUUAAAAUUUAGUUUUCUAUGUGAUACAAAUGAAACUUUCUCAUAAGUGGAGAAAAAAUAUCGUGUGCUUAUCCAAGUUUUAGAAAACAAUACACAGUUUAAAGUGGAGUAAAUUAAUUUUUAAAAAAUGCAGA